GCCUACUUCUGGCUUUGGUUGAGGAUAAUGGUCUAUUGUAGAUUAUGGAGGUGUACUACAAGAGAUACUCCCAUGUGAACCAAGGUUCGGUGUGUGGCACCUUUGAGGGGUUUAGCCCGUCCGGUACGAGCUCCGGUUCGUCCGGCCGGUGCGCCUUUUCAACUCACGGCCUCUAGGAAUGAAGGAGGGUAGUUCGGGGGAGAACUUUGUGGGGUGACUGAGGAGAAAUUCUUUGACCGCACCAAGACGAACUACAUCGAAUGGAUUCUUCAAGGAUACCUUCCUUAAUCCGCCCCAAAGUGUGGAGAUCGAAGAUGAUUAGAGACCAUUGUAGUCCACACUGCAUACAAUGACGCCCCUGAAUUGGGAAUCUUAUGGGCCGGCCUGCGGACUGGUUUACCCUGUGGCACCACCCCCCCCACUUUUACCACCUUGGGAUCUUUUCUAUUCGGCCUUUACCGGUCACCCACAGGAAUAUCCUCCCCACGUUUUCUGAUUUUUCACCCUAAAGGUUUCUCGUUUGUUUUUCCAAAA
This 534-nucleotide ribosomal RNA is filed under the name Leishmania chagasi. RNAcentral describes it as "bacterial SSU rRNA". It matches the Rfam family "Eukaryotic small subunit ribosomal RNA", at positions 773 to 1085 of the family's 1831-position model. The record is from RNAcentral. Lineage: Eukaryota; Euglenozoa; Kinetoplastea; Trypanosomatida; Trypanosomatidae.